This 253-nucleotide ribosomal RNA is filed under the name uncultured bacterium. RNAcentral's name for it is "partial 16S ribosomal RNA". It matches the Rfam family "Bacterial small subunit ribosomal RNA", at positions 524 to 776 of the family's 1533-position model. The record is from RNAcentral.
UACGAGGGGGGCGAGCGUUGUUCGGAAUUAUUGGGCGUAAAGGGCGCGUAGGCGGCCUGGCAAGUGGAAGGUGAAAUCCCUCGGCUUAACCGAGGAACUGCCCUCCAAACUGCUUGGCUUGAGUCCGGGAGAGGUGAGUGGAAUUCCCAGUGUAGCGGUGAAAUGCGUAGAUAUUGGGAGGAACACCAGUGGCGAAGGCGGCUCACUGGACCGGAACUGACGCUGAGGCGCGAAAGCGUGGGGAGCGAACAGG